Molecule: small RNA, 85 nt
Filed under: Salix viminalis (osier)
Lineage: Eukaryota; Viridiplantae; Streptophyta; Magnoliopsida; Malpighiales; Salicaceae
Source: RNAcentral
UUCACUGAUGUCGAAAUCUGCAUGUUAUUUUAUAGGGACGUGUCAUUAGCCUUGAGAAUCAAAUCAGGUAUAUCGAAUAUCGGGA